CUAUCCGGGCGGGGCGGGGAAGACGAAAAGCUCUUGGUGAGGCUGGGCCUUUCUGGGGACGAUGCCGUCCGCAUUCUCAGUGAGCUCGUUCCCCGUCAGCAUCCCCGCCGUGAUCAUGCAGACAGACUGGACGGAGCCGUGGCUGGUCGGGCUGGUCAUCUUCCACGUACUCUGCCUGCUGCUCACCUGCUUCUCAUCCCGGAGGUAUAAGCUACAGGUCGGGCACUUCCUGUGUCUGGGUGAGUAGGACCAGCAGCGAUUCUGUGGCUCAGGUUGCUGUGUGAUAGACAGUGUGCCUAUUCUCUCGUAGCCUCCUGCUGUGUGAAUACAUUUGUAAGGCUUCCAGCUGUGCCUGUCCUGGCGGGAAGUGCCAACCAGGAAGCAAAGUUCUGGGCAUAAAAUGACGUGGUGCCCAAGUCAGUUUUAAAGAUAAUGAGAAGGAGCAGAGUUGUGUGGCAUCCCCACGGAGAAGGAGUGGAGGCUGCAGGUGGCAGUCGUCCACCACCUCCGGUCCCUGUGCAGCUCUUGGCCUCCUGCCCUGGUCCCCACCCCAGCCCGUACCACCAGGGAGGGCCACCCAGGGGCUGGGCUGUUCCUGCUGCUCCUGUUAUCCUCAGGCCAGAUCCCCCCCCCCGCCCCCGUCUUUGCCACCAGCGCAAGUCUGAGGGGCCAGGCAGGGGACCCCAGCCCUUGCCCCAGGGCCCUCGGGUCCCACCACUGGCCUUGCCAGCUGACCUGUGACCAGGUGGGGCAGGCCGGCCUGCUCUGGUGUCUGGCCGGAAGCUCCUGCCGAGGGUGUGCCCAGCGGACUGACCAUCAGACUCCGUGUUCGCCUGGGUUUCCCUUCGAGUGGCUGCCUUCUGUCAGCGACAACAGGAACAGGUCUCAGCAGAUCCCUCUGUGCUGUAGCUGUCGCUUCUUUCCUCUCAGUGACGCUGGUCUACUGCGCCGAGUACAUCAAUGAGGUUGCGGCCAUGAACUGGAGGUGAGAACCAGCGCCCCGCCCGCCCGCCCGCACCCCAGGCUCCUUCCCGGCGGGGAGCUCAGCACCCCGUCUUCUCCGGCGCCCCCGACACGUCCUCGCUGUCCAGGACACCAGCGCACGCCUGUCUCCCUGGCCGCUCCCUCCUCGCCUCUGUGUCCUUCCUGCUGCAGCCUCUGCCGGGGUGACCCACUCCGUGUCCCGUGUCCCGUCCCCACGAAACGUCCGCCCUCCCCGCCCCACCCCCUGCAAACUGUCCCCAGCUGCCUGCUCUGUGGGGGCAGCUGCUUCUCCUGGCCUCUUAGGGCAGAGACCCCGCAGUCAGGCAGGGGUCCUCGGGGACGGCGGAGGGGGGCUUUGAAACCAUCAUUGAGGGGAGCACCCCCCCCCCAGGUCUCCUGACUGCCUCCUUAGGAGCGUCUGACCCCAGGGGUCACGGAGCAGAGUUCUGGCCCCUGGCGCUCAGCCCCCCGGCUGCAGGCCCCUACUGGGGGGUCGGGGGCCCUCCCUCCUCCACAGGCAGACCCCUCCCUCCCCCCCAACGAUUUCCUCGGAGCCCCAGCCUCCCAGGCUGCCUUGGACCCGAUAGGCAGCACCUGUUCCCUGUGACCCCCGAGCCCUGGCGGAGCGGGAGAAGGUCAUAUCCUCGACUGGGUCACUGGCUGGUGACGUGAGGCCUGUGUCCUGCCCCCGCCCGGCCACACGGGUCCCCCGCGCCUGCUCCCCCGCCUGCUCCCCCGCCUGCUCCGGGGCGGGGGCCUGAGCUCGCAGAGGCGGCCACCCACCCUGUCCUGCUUCCCAGGAAGGCCUGCAGAGCCUGCCCUACAGGGUUGAGGAGGCCGCCGGCUCGCGCAGCGGUCUCUGCCCCCACCUCGCCUUCCUGUGUGGAGGUGCCUGCCGGUCCCUGCAUGUCCUCUGUCCCCAGGUGCCUGUGGCCUCGGGCCUGGGUCCUGGUGGGAGGACCCGCCUCGCUGAGGGGCGACGCCGUGAGCAGGGGCCGUCGCAAGGGCCGCUGGGCUGCGCCAGGUAACCGCCAGACCCUUCUGCGCGCAGGUCCUUCUCAAAGUACCAGUAUUUCGACUCGAGGGGGAUGUUCGUGUCCCUGGUCUUCUCGGCACCGCUGCUGCUCAACGCCCUGGCCAUCGUGGUACGUGCACCUGCCCCAGCUCCCUCCUGCUGCCACGGCCUGGUCCCGGCUCUGAGCGCCUCCCCGCGCGGCUCUUUCUAGAUCCUGUGGGUGCGCAAGACGCUGGCGGUGAUGAGCGACCUGAGGACCUUACAGCAGCGCCGGGGGCGGCCGAAGCAGCAGUGACGGCUCUGCCCCCGGCUGGCGCCUGGGCAUCCAGACCCGCCCCGCGUCCCGAGACGCUUGGGCUGGCUUUGAAGGGCGCUCGCCCGGCCUGGGUCCACCCAGAAGGUCUGAGUCUCCCUAGUUAAACUGUAAACGGAGCCCCUGCAGUCAAGCCUGAGCUCGGGACACCCUGUCUGUCCAUGUGGGAGGGUUGAGGGGUGGACAGCGCCAUCCACGCGUGGGCACCCCCAUUGGCCCCUGUCACCCCCACCCUCCCCGUCAGCCCCCUGUCACCUCUAUCACUCCCCCAUCACCCCUGUCACCCCCAUGCUCCCCGUCAGCCCCCUGUCACGGUCACCCCUGUCACCCCUGUCACUGCCAUCACCCUGGUCUGGCCUUCGUGGCGACGGCCUCUCCAGGCAGGGCUGCCGCUGGACAGGGCAGGAGGGGCCGCCUGGCCUCUGUGCAGUUGGAGGCGUCACGGCGCCGGCGGAGGCCGGAGUCGGGAUCUUCAGAGGCGGCAGCCGCGCGAGCCCCUUGAGUUGUGCUUCAGGAAGGAACGUCGCCAUUAAAACAGUCAGCAGCUGCCUGGUUCAACUAAGAGGUUUUAUGGCAAAUACCGAGACGGGUUCUGUCCCUUGGUUCCUGCCUCUUACAUUCUGCUCGGGGACAUGCCACCGCCUCUUCUGUUGGAGCAGGUGCGCUGAUUCGGUGUCACGGCCGCGCUGCGGACUAGACCUGCAGCUGGAGGGUGGGGGCCGCAUGUCUAAACUCAGCGUUUGAGAAAGAGGAGGCGGUUGGCUCCUGAUGGGGUUUGAAAAAAUAGCUUGCGAGCCUUCCUGCUGUGACUCAAAGGGAUCAGCGGCAUCUCUGCAGCGCUGGGCGCGGGUUUGAUCCCUGGCCGGGUGCAGUGGGUUAAGGCUCUGACAGGGCUGCAGCUGCAGUGUAGGUCACGCUGGGACGUGGCUCUGAUCCUGGCCCAGGAAAGCCAUGUGCCAUGGGGUGGCCUGAAAAAAAGAGAGGAAGUAGUUUAUGAAUAGUUGUCUUAAUUUUAAGAAGAUGUUUUCCCUUAAAUGAAGUAUAUUUUUCAAAUUUCAAAAGAAAAAAAAUUGGUCACGUGAAAGCAUUAUAUUUAGUGGUUCAGAGGGUAACACUGCUGGAUGAUGGGAUUAAAUCUUGAAAUCCAGACGUAAAGACAGCUGUAAACUCUUAGCAGAGAAAUUAUUUCCUUAAUUUUGACGUUGGUUUUAGAACCGAGUCGAUAGAACUUCCUAGAUCAAUCUCUUGGAGCUUUUAACCUCACAUCCUUUCUUGAUGUGAACGUCUGUACUGAACAUUGAAAAAAUUGACUCAGCAACAGCAUGUCACGUGAAAUCCAGUUUUAGAUGUCUUGCACCUGAUGACAUCCUGAGGGUGCGUUGCUGAAAGUGACCAGUUCAGGGUGUUCCUUGGUGUCCUGGCUUCAGAAGAGUCGCCUGCAUCUGAGCAGCUCCCGGGAGCCCACAGCGGCAGGGGCUGCGGGCGGGGUCGAGUGUCCCCUCCAGCGCCGGCCUGGGGCCAGGGGACAGAAGUGCCCGUGGCAACGUCCUGCCCUUGCCCUCGGCCCCUCGGAGCCCAGGGAGUGCAGGCAUUUCCACCAUCCGGAGCCACUCCUGUCAGCGCGAGACUGUGACUGGCUCUCAGCUGUCCUGUGAAGACCGGGUAAUGACAUCGUCAUUGGCCUGGAUGUGGGGUCAGACGUCCCGUCGAAAAACACGACGUAGGGCCUUUUUGUUCACUGGUGUGUGUAAGUUUUGGGGAAUCGUUGUGUUUUAUUUUCACAAACACAACCUGUUUUUAAAACUUUUAGUAGGUUUCUCUCCAGUGGCUUAAAGGGCAGUGUUUACGAACACCAGGCGUCCUCAUGCUUGGGACACACUCCAAGCCGUCGCUGUCCCAGCACUUCAGGUCACCUCAAGUGUGGGGACUGUGGCCCUUUCGGGGCAUGGGGGUGCUGCUGGGGCUUGGGGCCUCCAGGCGGGUGGAAGGGCAGCCUGUGUCUGUCAUCUGCGGACGAGAAGACGAGAGACACGCGUGGUCAAGGCGCAUUUAGCCCGUUCCAGACCUGCGACCUUCAGUUUGUCAGUUGCUGUGUAAUAAAGUCUUAUUUUAUUUCAAGUAUCUCCAGGAACCUGGAGUGUUUUUUUUUCUCCACAACUGUACAUGGUUUUGACUCUGCAGAUGGAAGCGGGGGCUCCCAGAGCUGGUGGGCUUGCCUUGGUCCAGUGUCCAAUGCUGGGCUUUCCAAGCUGGGAAGGUCCGUUUCCUUAGUGUCAGCAGAAGGAUGUCGCACAGGCCCAGGUACCCGCCCGUCAAAGAAGCAUGGAUCAGGUCACGGUGACAGGCACUGCUCGCUCUCCCCUUUCCUGUCCUCGCCUUGCUGUGUCCCUGCAACUGCCCGCCCCCCGGCUCUUCUCAGCCCGCAGAGGGAGGUGUGGGGCUGAAACGUGACGGCGCUCCGGUCACCAUAGCUGCCCAGGGCCCGUUGCCGGGUGUGGGGGCCGCGUGGUAAGGGUCUCUGGUCUCCGGCAGCCUUUGGUCCCUGGACCCGAUGCUCUGAAUUUCACCCCGUGUCUCCUGAGGCUCUUUCUUCAGGUUGUGAGGAGUCCCAGCACCGCUAGAAAUCCCAGCACCCACAGGCCAGGUCCGGGCCGCCCUGGGGGAGGGGAACCGGGCCGGAGUCACCCACGGCCUCACAGCCGCACUGAGGGCCCCCCGGCCCGGCUCCCGGGGUCUCUCCGGAGCUUCCGCCGUGGGCUGCUUUGCUGUGUCUUAGUCUCGCUGCGGCUGCAGCAGAAGGAAAUCGUCAAACGUCCACUCGCCGCCCAUUUCUUCUCUGAAAGUCACUUUCUGUGGGUGUUUUUCCAGCCCUUUUAUCCUGGCUGUGUUUCAGGACAGAACAUACGUUUCAACGACCGCCGAGUAGCCAAGGCCUGCGGGUGUAAAGCUGGUUUCCUGAGCGGAUUCGGGAUGUUGGCCAAGCAGAGCUGUGGUCACACUUACCAACCGCACGGGAAGCCGCCCCUUGGGAGCCGGCCCCCGCCCGUCCGUUACCGACUGGGAACAAGUUCCAACAAGGGAAAUGAAGUCAAAACACACGAACGUUUGAUGGCAGUUGAUGACAGUAAAUCAGUGUUGGGAGAGCGGGCGCCGGCAUCAGGGCCCUGAAUCCGUCGAGAGCCGCAGGAAAGAUGCUUUAGGGGGAGUUCCCUGGGGGUCUAGUGGUUAGGACUCGGGGCCGUCACCGCUGCGGCCCAGGUUCAUUCCGUCUUCCGGGAACUGAGCCAUUGCCUGUGUUGGCCAAAAAGAAAAAGUUAAAAAAAAAAAAAAAA
Molecule: long non-coding RNA, 5644 nt
Filed under: Sus scrofa (pig)
Lineage: Eukaryota; Metazoa; Chordata; Mammalia; Artiodactyla; Suidae
Description: lncRNA (ENSSSCG00025073008.1)
Source: RNAcentral